GUCACUACCAGUCCUCCCUAAAGACUCCCAAACUUGUCUGAUUUUGGAAGCUAAGCAUGGUUGGGCCUGCUUAAUCCUAGCACUCAAGAGGCAGAUGGAGGCA
RNAcentral lists this ribosomal RNA (103 nucleotides) under Nannospalax galili (Upper Galilee mountains blind mole rat). The record is from RNAcentral. Lineage: Eukaryota; Metazoa; Chordata; Mammalia; Rodentia; Spalacidae.